Molecule: long non-coding RNA, 811 nt
Filed under: Olea europaea subsp. europaea
Lineage: Eukaryota; Viridiplantae; Streptophyta; Magnoliopsida; Lamiales; Oleaceae
Source: RNAcentral
UUAGCUCUAUAGAAUUUGAACAGACAAUCGUAAAUGGCUCAAUCGUAUUUGCUGUGAUUGUUAUGGAAGUACCGUCAGAUUCCCCACUAGCAACCCCUACUGAAGCCCAAUCAUUCCUUCAGGAAUUUAAGGAUGUAUUUCCUGAUGACCUCCCUGAUCUAUUGCCUCCCUUACGGGAUAUUCAACAUGCUAUAGAUCUGGUUCCAGGUUAGUCUCUCCCAAAUUUGCCUCACUAUAGAAUGAAUUCUACUGAACAUGCCGAGCUUCAGAGACAAGUGGGUGAACUCCUUCACAAAGGCUUCAUCCGUGAAAGCUUAAGCCCUUGUGCAGUUCCCGCCCUUCUCACACCUAAGGAUGGUUCUUGGAGGAUGUGUAUUGAUAGUCGCGCUAUCAAUAAGAUCACUGUCAAGUAUCGUUUUCCCAUCCCUCGACUUGAUGAUAUGCUAGAUAUGAUGGUCAGUGCCACAAUAUUUUCUAAAAUCGAUUUGAAGAGUGGAUAUCAUCAGAUUCGGAUCCGUCCAGGAGACGAGUGGAAAACGACAUUUAAAACGAAAGAUGGUCUAUACGAGUGGUUGGUAAUGCCUUUGGCGUAACCAAUGCUCCAAGUACCUUUAUGAGGGUGAUGGUACAGGCCCUUCGACCUUUCAUGGGCAAAUUCAUUGUCGUAUACUUUGAUGAGAUUCUCGUGUAUAGCAAAACAAGGGAACAACAUCGAGAUCGUCUCACGCAAGUUUGCUCUACACUGCAUACAACAAGUUUGUAUGCCAAUGUGAAGAAAUGUUCUUUCUUCACGAAUAGAGUUGUGUUUCUC